This 424-nucleotide ribosomal RNA is filed under the name uncultured Brevibacillus sp. Its description in RNAcentral is "bacterial SSU rRNA". It matches the Rfam family "Bacterial small subunit ribosomal RNA", at positions 358 to 774 of the family's 1533-position model. The record is from RNAcentral. Lineage: Bacteria; Bacillati; Bacillota; Bacilli; Caryophanales; Paenibacillaceae.
GGAAUUUUCCACAAUGGACGAAAGUCUGAUGGAGCAACGCCGCGUGAACGAUGAAGGCCUUCGGGUUGUAAAGUUCUGUUGUCAGGGACGAACAAGUACCGUUCGAAUAGGGCGGUACCUUGACGGUACCUGACGAGAAAGCCACUGCUAACUACGUGCCAGCAGCCGCGGUAAUACGUAGGUGGCAAGCGUUGUCCGGAUUUAUUGGGCGUAAAGCGCGCGCAGGCGGCUAUGUAAGUCUGGUGUUAAAGCCCGGGGCUCAACCCCGGUUCGCAUCGGAAACUGUGUAGCUUGAGUGCAGAAGAGGAAAGCGGUAUUCCACGUGUAGCGGUGAAAUGCGUAGAGAUGUGGAGGAACACCAGUGGCGAAGGCGGCUUUCUGGUCUGUAACUGACGCUGAGGCGCGAAAGCGUGGGGAGCAAACA